CUCAGAACGAACGCUGGCGGCAGGCCUAACACAUGCAAGUCGAACGCCCCGCAAGGGGAGUGGCAGACGGGUGAGUAACACGUGGGAACCUGCCCUAUAGUACGGAAUAGCCCAGGGAAACUUGGAGUAAUACCGUAUACGCCCGAAAGGGGAAAGAAUUUCGCUAUAGGAUGGGCCCGCGUAGGAUUAGCUAGUUGGUGAGGUAAUGGCUCACCAAGGCGACGAUCCUUAGCUGGUUUGAGAGAACGACCAGCCACACUGGGACUGAGACACGGCCCAGACUCCUACGGGAGGCAGCAGUGGGGAAUAUUGGACAAUGGGCGCAAGCCUGAUCCAGCCAUGCCGCGUGAGUGAUGAAGGCCUUAGGGUUGUAAAGCUCUUUUGCCGGGGACGAUAAUGACGGUACCCGGAGAAUAAGUCCCGGCUAACUUCGUGCCAGCAGCCGCGGUAAUACGAAGGGGACUAGCGUUGUUCGGAAUCACUGGGCGUAAAGCGCAAAUAGGCGGAUUUGUAAGUCAGGGGUGAAAUCCCGGGGCUCAACCUCGGAACUGCCUUUGAUACUGCGAAUCUUGAGUCCGAUAGAGGUGGGUGGAAUUCAAAGCGUACAGGUGAAAUUCGUAGAUAUUAGAAAGAACACCGGUGGCGAAGGCGGCCCACUGGAUCGGUACUGACGCUGAGGUGCGAAAGCUGGGGAGCUAACCAGCAUGGGAUACCCUGGUAGUC
RNAcentral lists this ribosomal RNA (723 nucleotides) under uncultured bacterium. Its description in RNAcentral is "bacterial SSU rRNA". It matches the Rfam family "Bacterial small subunit ribosomal RNA", at positions 23 to 795 of the family's 1533-position model. The record is from RNAcentral.